This is a long non-coding RNA of Xenopus tropicalis (tropical clawed frog), 446 nucleotides long. RefSeq lists it as uncharacterized. Lineage: Eukaryota; Metazoa; Chordata; Amphibia; Anura; Pipidae. The record is from RefSeq and is a predicted model, not a curated record. The transcript has 2 exons.
CUGGCCCAGAAUUUAGACGGCGCAGGCACGGAGAGAAAGAAAUUCUAAAGGAAACCAGACGUAGAUGUUUGAGAAACUUGAAAGGAGCAGCAGAGGGAAGAAGGAAGCAUGGUGAAAUGUGGCCACGUUACCAAACCCUGUGAAAUACAUGUGUGUGUGUACAGAGCCCCAUAUGAAAUGAGGAGCCGGGGUCCCACAAGACUACAUGAAUUGUCUCUUUUAUUAUUUAUUCUAAGUUGGAAAAAACUGUUUAAUAUUUUAAAGGCUUCAGUGAUGGCUGCCAGAGGGUGUGGGGAGCAAAGCAGGCUCUGUGUCACCUGAAUGGGACGUGGCCUACAAGGCUGAACCUGGGCUCCCACUGAUCAAGGGCCACAAACACUACGGGACUGUAUGAAACACGUCGCUAAUUAAACGUAUGUGACAUCUCCAUGUCACUAAUUACUGCA